Molecule: ribosomal RNA, 469 nt
Filed under: uncultured bacterium
Lineage: Bacteria
Description: partial 16S ribosomal RNA
Rfam family: Bacterial small subunit ribosomal RNA
Source: RNAcentral
GACGAACGCUGGCGGCGUGCUUAACACAUGCAAGUCGAACGGAAAGGCCCUGCUUUUGUGGGGUGCUCGAGUGGCGAACGGGUGAGUAACACGUGAGUAACCUGCCCUUGACUUUGGGAUAACUUCAGGAAACUGGGGCUAAUACCGGAUAGGAGCUCCUGCUGCAUGGUGGGGGUUGGAAAGUUUCGGCGGUUGGGGAUGGACUCGCGGCUUAUCAGCUUGUUGGUGGGGUAGUGGCUUACCAAGGCUUUGACGGGUAGCCGGCCUGAGAGGGUGACCGGCCACAUUGGGACUGAGAUACGGCCCAGACUCCUACGGGAGGCAGCAGGGGGGAAUAUUGCACAAUGGGCGGAAACCUGAUGCAGCAACGCCGCGUGCGGGAUGACGGCCUUCGGGUUGUAAACCGCUUUCGCCUGUGACGAAGCGUGAGUGACGGUAAUGGGUAAAGAAGCACCGGCUAACUACGUGC